RNAcentral lists this transfer RNA (87 nucleotides) under bacterium BMS3Bbin13. Its description in RNAcentral is "tRNA-Leu". It matches the Rfam family "tRNA". From Rfam's summary of the family: Transfer RNA (tRNA) molecules are approximately 80 nucleotides in length. The record is from RNAcentral.
UCCGAGGUGGUAGAACUGGUAGACAUGCCUGUCUCAAGAACAGGUGGGAGAAUGCCCAUGCGGGUUCGACUCCCGCUCCCGGCACCA